UACGAGGGGGGCGAGCGUUGUUCGGAAUUAUUGGGCGUAAAGGGCGCGUAGGCGGUGCGGUAAGUCACCUGUGAAAUCUCCGGGCUCAACUCGGAGCCUGCAGGCGAAACUGCCGUGCUAGAGGGUGGGAGAGGUGCGUGGAAUUCCCGGUGUAGCGGUGAAAUGCGUAGAUAUCGGGAAGAACACCUAUGGCGAAGGCAGCUCUCUGGGACGGUACUGACGCUGAGACGCGAAAGCGUGGGGAGCACAGG
Molecule: ribosomal RNA, 251 nt
Filed under: uncultured bacterium
Lineage: Bacteria
Description: partial 16S ribosomal RNA
Rfam family: Bacterial small subunit ribosomal RNA
Source: RNAcentral